UACAGAGGGUGCGAGCGUUGUCCGGAAUCACUGGGCGUAAAGGGCGCGUAGGUGGCGCUCCAAGUCCGUGGUGAAAGCUCGAUGCUUAACAUCGAGUCGGCCACGGAGACUGGAGGGCUCGAGCACUGUAGGGGCAGAUGGAAUUCCGGGUGUAGCGGUGGAAUGCGUAGAGAUCCGGAAGAACACCGGUGGCGAAGGCGGUCUGCUGGGCAGUUGCUGACACUGAGGCGCGACAGCGUGGGGAGCAAACAGG
This 253-nucleotide ribosomal RNA is filed under the name uncultured bacterium. RNAcentral describes it as "partial 16S ribosomal RNA". It matches the Rfam family "Bacterial small subunit ribosomal RNA", at positions 524 to 776 of the family's 1533-position model. The record is from RNAcentral.